Molecule: ribosomal RNA, 325 nt
Filed under: uncultured Pseudomonadota bacterium
Lineage: Bacteria; Pseudomonadati; Pseudomonadota
Description: bacterial SSU rRNA
Rfam family: Bacterial small subunit ribosomal RNA
Source: RNAcentral
AACGAACGCUGGCGGCGUGCUUAACACAUGCAAGUCGAACGCGAAAAUUUUCCUCGGAAAGUGAGUAGAGUGGCGCACGGGUGAGUAACGCGUAAGUUAUCUACCUCGGCAUCUGGAAUAACUCACCGAAAGGUGUGCUAAUACCGGAUACGUUGAGCAAUCAAGAAAGGUGGCCUCUGAAUAUGCUACUGUGCUGAGAUGAGCUUGCGUACCAUUAGCUAGUUGGUAGGGUAAUGGCCUACCAAGGCAACGAUGGUUAGCGGGUCUGAGAGGAUGAUCCGCCACACUGGAACUGAAACACGGACCAGACACCUACGGGUGGCUG